Molecule: transfer RNA, 72 nt
Filed under: Phrynosoma platyrhinos (Desert horned lizard)
Lineage: Eukaryota; Metazoa; Chordata; Lepidosauria; Squamata; Phrynosomatidae
Description: tRNA-OTHER
Source: RNAcentral
GCCAGUGUGGUGUGGUGGUUUGAGUGUUGGACUAUGACUCUGGAGACCAGGGUUCUAAUCCCUGCUCAGCCA